GCUUCUCUUGAGAGCGGCGGACGGGUGAGUAAUGCCUAGGAAUCUGCCUGGUAGUGGGGGAUAACGUUCGGAAACGGACGCUAAUACCGCAUACGUCCUACGGGAGAAAGCAGGGGACCUUCGGGCCUUGCGCUAUCAGAUGAGCCUAGGUCGGAUUAGCUAGUUGGUGAGGUAAUGGCUCACCAAGGCGACGAUCCGUAACUGGUCUGAGAGGAUGAUCAGUCACACUGGAACUGAGACACGGUCCAGACUCCUACGGGAGGCAGCAGUGGGGAAUAUUGGACAAUGGGCGAAAGCCUGAUCCAGCCAUGCCGCGUGUGUGAAGAAGGUCUUCGGAUUGUAAAGCACUUUAAGUUGGGAGGAAGGGCAGUUACCUAAUACGUGAUUGUUUUGACGUUACCGACAGAAUAAGCACCGGCUAACUCUGUGCCAGCAGCCGCGGUAAUACAGAGGGUGCAAGCGUUAAUCGGAAUUACUGGGCGUAAAGCGCGCGUAGGUGGUUUGUUAAGUUGGAUGUGAAAUCCCCGGGCUCAACCUGGGAACUGCAUUCAAAACUGACUGACUAGAGUGUGGUAGAGG
This 579-nucleotide ribosomal RNA is filed under the name Pseudomonas sp. EECC-103. RNAcentral's name for it is "bacterial SSU rRNA". It matches the Rfam family "Bacterial small subunit ribosomal RNA", at positions 82 to 657 of the family's 1533-position model. The record is from RNAcentral. Lineage: Bacteria; Pseudomonadati; Pseudomonadota; Gammaproteobacteria; Pseudomonadales; Pseudomonadaceae.